This 492-nucleotide ribosomal RNA is filed under the name uncultured bacterium. Its description in RNAcentral is "partial 16S ribosomal RNA". It matches the Rfam family "Bacterial small subunit ribosomal RNA", at positions 29 to 507 of the family's 1533-position model. The record is from RNAcentral.
AGUGAACGCUGGCGGUAGGCCUAACACAUGCAAGUCGAACGGCAGCACAGUAAGAGCUUGCUCUUACGGGUGGCGAGUGGCGGACGGGUGAGGAAUACAUCGGAAUCUACUUUUUCGUGGGGGAUAACGUAGGGAAACUUACGCUAAUACCGCUUACGACCUACGGGUGAAAGCAGGGGAUCUUCGGACCUUGCGCGAUUGAAUGAGCCGAUGUCGGAUUAGCUAGUUGGCGGGGUAAAGGCCCACCAAGGCGACGAUCCGUAGCUGGUCUGAGAGGAUGAUCAGCUACACUGGAACUGAGACACGGUCCAGACUCCUACGGGAGGCAGCAGUGGGGAAUAUUGGACAAUGGGCGCAAGCCUGAUCCAGCCAUACCGCGUGGGUGAAGAAGGCCUUCGGGUUGUAAAGCCCUUUUGUUGGGAAAGAAAAGCAGCAGGUUAAUACCCCGCUGUUCUGACGGUACCCAAAGAAUAAGCACCGGCUAACUUCGUG